RNAcentral lists this ribosomal RNA (468 nucleotides) under uncultured Acholeplasma sp. RNAcentral's name for it is "bacterial SSU rRNA". It matches the Rfam family "Bacterial small subunit ribosomal RNA", at positions 922 to 1382 of the family's 1533-position model. The record is from RNAcentral. Lineage: Bacteria; Bacillati; Mycoplasmatota; Mollicutes; Acholeplasmatales; Acholeplasmataceae.
CACACAAGCGGUGGAGCAUGUUGUUUAAUUCGAGGCUACGCGAAGAACCUUUACCUGGGUUUGAAGCGGUAGGUAUAAGCAUGUCGAAAGAUGUGUGAUUGCCCUUCGGGGUGUAACCUAUCACAGGUGCUGCAUGGGCUGUCGUCAGCUCGUGUCGUGAGAUGUCGGGUUAAGUCCCGCAACGAGCGCAACCCUUAUUGCUAGUUACCAUCAUUAAUUGGGGACUCUAGCGAGACUGCCAGUGAUAAACUGGAGGAAGUGGGGAUGACGUCAAAUCAUCAUGCCCCUUAUGACCUGGGCUACAAACGUGAUACAAUGGCUGAAACAAAGGGCAGCGAAGGAGCGAUCUGGAGCGAAACCCAAAAAAGCAGUCUCAGUUCGGAUUGAAGUCUGCAACUCGACUUCAUGAAGUCGGAAUCGCUAGUAAUCGCGGAUCAGCAUGCCGCGGUGAAUACGUUCCCGGGCCUU